UCUUUCUUUGCUGGCGACCGGCGCACGGGUGAGUAACACGUAUCCAACCUGCCCUUUACUCGGGGAUAGCCUUUCGAAAGAAAGAUUAAUACCCGAUAGCAUAAUGAUUCCGCAUGGUUUCAUUAUUAAAGGAUUCCGGUAAAGGAUGGGGAUGCGUUCCAUUAGGUUGUUGGUGGGGUAACGGCCCACCAAGCCUUCGAUGGAUAGGGGUUCUGAGAGGAAGGUCCCCCACAUUGGAACUGAGACACGGUCCAA
Molecule: ribosomal RNA, 255 nt
Filed under: uncultured bacterium
Lineage: Bacteria
Description: partial 16S ribosomal RNA
Rfam family: Bacterial small subunit ribosomal RNA
Source: RNAcentral